GGCUCAGGAUGAACGCUGGCGGCGUGCUUAACACAUGCAAGUCGAACGAUGAUCUCCAGCUUGCUGGGGGGAUUAGUGGCGAACGGGUGAGUAACACGUGAGUAACCUGCCCUUGACUCUGGGAUAAGCCUGGGAAACUGGGUCUAAUACUGGAUACGACCUUCCAUCGCAUGGUGGUUGGUGGAAAGCUUUUGUGGUUUUGGAUGGACUCGCGGCCUAUCAGCUUGUUGGUGGGGUAAUGGCCUACCAAGGCGACGACGGGUAGCCGGCCUGAGAGGGUGGACGGCCACACUGGGACUGAGACACGGCCCAGACUCCUACGGGAGGCAGCAGUGGGGAAUAUUGCACAAUGGGCGCAAGCCUGAUGCAGCGACGCCGCGUGAGGGAUGAAGGCCUUCGGGUUGUAAACCUCUUUCAGUAGGGAAGAAGCGA
This 432-nucleotide ribosomal RNA is filed under the name Arthrobacter tumbae. Its description in RNAcentral is "bacterial SSU rRNA". It matches the Rfam family "Bacterial small subunit ribosomal RNA", at positions 21 to 453 of the family's 1533-position model. The record is from RNAcentral. Lineage: Bacteria; Bacillati; Actinomycetota; Actinomycetes; Micrococcales; Micrococcaceae.